RNAcentral lists this ribosomal RNA (404 nucleotides) under uncultured bacterium. RNAcentral's name for it is "bacterial SSU rRNA". It matches the Rfam family "Bacterial small subunit ribosomal RNA", at positions 917 to 1322 of the family's 1533-position model. The record is from RNAcentral.
GGACCCGCACAAGUAGUGGAGCAUGUGGUUUAAUUCGAAGAUACGCGCAGAACCUUACCAGGGUUUGACAUCCUGCGAAUCUCUUGGAAACGAGAGAGUGCCUUCGGGAACGCAGUGACAGGUGGUGCAUGGCUGUCGUCAGCUCGUGUCGUGAGAUGUUGGGUUAAGUCCCGCAACGAGCGCAACCCACGUCGUUAGUUGCCAGCAUUUAGUUGGGCACUCUAGCGAGACCGCCGGUGAUAAACCGGAGGAAGGUGUGGAUGACGUCAAGUCAUCAUGCCCCUUACAUCCUGGGCUACACACGUACUACAAUGCUACGGACAAAGGGCAGCAAACUCGCGAGAGCUAGCAAAUCCCAUAAACCGUGGCUCAGUUCAGAUCGUAGGCUGCAACUCGCCUACGUG